Molecule: ribosomal RNA, 497 nt
Filed under: uncultured bacterium
Lineage: Bacteria
Description: partial 16S ribosomal RNA
Rfam family: Bacterial small subunit ribosomal RNA
Source: RNAcentral
GAUGAACGCUGGCGGCGUGCCUAAUACAUGCAAGUAGAACGCUGAAGGAAGGAGCUUGCUCUUUCCGGAUGAGUUGCGAACGGGUGAGUAACGCGUAGGUAACCUGCCUGGUAGCGGGGGAUAACUAUUGGAAACGAUAGCUAAUACCGCAUAACAGUAGAUGUUGCAUGAUAUCUACUUAAAAGGUGCAAUUGCACCACUACCAGAUGGACCUGCGUUGUAUUAGCUAGUUGGUGAGGUAACGGCGCACCAAGGCGACGAUACAUAGCUGACCUGAGAGGGUGAUCGGCCACACUGGGACUGUGACACGGCCCAGACUCCUACGGGAGGCAGCAGUAGUGAAUCUGGGGCAAUGGGCGGAAGACUGACCGCGCAACGCCGCAUGAGUGAAGAAGGUUUUCGGAUCGGAAAGCUCUGUUUUCAGGGAAGAACGAGUGUGAGAGUGGAAAGUUCACACUGUGACGGUAUCUUACCAGAAAGGGACGGCUAACUACGUG